Molecule: ribosomal RNA, 467 nt
Filed under: uncultured bacterium
Lineage: Bacteria
Description: partial 16S ribosomal RNA
Rfam family: Bacterial small subunit ribosomal RNA
Source: RNAcentral
GACGAACGCUGGCGGCGUGCUUAACACAUGCAAGUCGAACGGAAGGGCCCGGCUUUUGGGGGUUGCCCGGGUGGGAACGGGGGAGGAACCACGUGGGUACCCGGCCCUUGCCUUGGGGAUACCUCAGGGAAACGGGGCCUAUUCCCGGAAAGGAGCUCCUCCGCCUGGGGGGGGGUUGGAAAGUUCGGCGGGUGGGGCUGGACCUGCGGCUUAUCCGCUUGUUGGGGGGGUAGGGGCUUACCAAGGCUUUGACGGGUAGCCGGCCUGAGAGGGUGACCGGCCACAUUGGGACUGCGAUACGGCCCAGACUCCUACGGGAGGCAGCAGUGGGGAAUAUUGCACAAUGGGCGGAAGCCUGAUGCAGCAACGCCGCGUGCGGGAUGACGGCCUUCGGGUUGUAAACCGCUUUCGCCUGUGACGAAGCGUGAGUGACGGUAAUGGGUAAAGAAGCACCGGCUAACUACGUG